Molecule: unclassified non-coding RNA, 153 nt
Filed under: uncultured fungus
Lineage: Eukaryota; Fungi
Description: sequence contains ITS1, 5.8S rRNA gene
Source: RNAcentral
CCGAGUGAGGGCCUCCGGCCCCGACCUCCAACCCUUUGUUAUCAAAACCACUGUUGCCUCGGGGGCGACCCGGGCCUCGCGGCGCCGGGGCCCCCGCUGGACAAUCUCAAAACUCUGCAUCUUUGCGUCGGGUUAUAAAAGUUUAAUUGAUUA